UGAGGAAUAUUGCACAAUGGGCGCAAGCCUGAUGCAGCGACGCCGCGUGUGGGAUGAAGGGGCUACGCCUCGUAAACCACUGUAGCCUGGGACGAAAAACGCCUUAGAGGCGUUAGACGGUACCGGGAAAGUAAGGGUCGGCUAACUACGUGCCAGCAGCCGCGGUAAUACGUAGGACCCAAGCGUUGUCCGGAUUUACUGGGUGUACAGGGUGCGCAGGCGGAUGGGUAAGUCAGGGGUGAAAGUCUGCAGCUUAACUGCAGAAUUGCCUUUGAUACUGCUCAUCUGGGGUGUGGGAGAGGUUGAUGGAAUUCCAGGUGUAGCAGUGAAAUGCGUAGAUAUCUGGAAGAACACCAGUGGCGAAGGCGGUCAACUGGCCCAUAACUGACGCUCAUGCACGAAAGCGUGGGGAGCAAACA
RNAcentral lists this ribosomal RNA (419 nucleotides) under uncultured bacterium. RNAcentral's name for it is "bacterial SSU rRNA". It matches the Rfam family "Bacterial small subunit ribosomal RNA", at positions 355 to 774 of the family's 1533-position model. The record is from RNAcentral.